CAGUAGCCGCGGUAAAACGUAGGGCGCAAGCGUUAUCCGGAAUUAUUGGGCGUAAAGAGCUCGUAGGCGGUUUGUCGCGUCUGCCGUGAAAGUCCGGGGCUCAACCCCGGAUCUGCGGUGGGUACGGGCAGACUAGAGUGAUGUAGGGGAGACUGGAAUUCCUGGUGUAGCGGUGAAAUGCGCAGAUAUCAGGAGGAACACCGAUGGCGAAGGCAGGUCUCUGGGCAUUAACUGACGCUGAGGAGCGAAAGCAUGGGGAGCGAACAGGAUUAGAUACCCCCGUAGUCCCUGUCUCUUAUAC
This 301-nucleotide ribosomal RNA is filed under the name uncultured bacterium. RNAcentral describes it as "partial 16S ribosomal RNA". It matches the Rfam family "Bacterial small subunit ribosomal RNA", at positions 509 to 807 of the family's 1533-position model. The record is from RNAcentral.